RNAcentral lists this ribosomal RNA (306 nucleotides) under Triticum aestivum (bread wheat). Its description in RNAcentral is "partial small subunit ribosomal RNA". The record is from RNAcentral. Lineage: Eukaryota; Viridiplantae; Streptophyta; Magnoliopsida; Poales; Poaceae.
AUGUCCUCCUCCACCGCAAUCACCUCCUCUGGCCUCAACUACAACACAUCAGAACCUCUCAGCUGGACGAACUACGUUCUCUGGCGAGCCCAGGCGCGAUCCCAGAUACUGGGCGCUGGCUUGUUUGGCUACAUAGAUCAAACCAUAGAGGAGCCUCCCAAAACAAUCACUAGCAAAGACAAAGAUGGUAAGGAGCAGGUAGUUCCCAAUCCUGCCCAUAAUCCCUGGUUAGUUCAAGAUCAGCAAAUCGUGGCAUAUCUCCUUCGUAAUCUGUCCAAGGAGGUGCUGGUUCAAGUGGCUUCGCUU